This is a non-coding RNA of Odocoileus virginianus texanus, 467 nucleotides long. The record is from RefSeq and is a predicted model, not a curated record. NCBI's taxonomy places the organism in Eukaryota, Metazoa, Chordata, Mammalia, Artiodactyla, Cervidae.
UUGGCCGCGCCUGGUCGCGCCUCAUAUGACGUCAGAGACAGAGACCAAUGGGAGUCCAAGGGCAGCCUCGCGGGAAGACGGCAAGGGAGGCCGAUGGAAGUUAGUCUAAAUAUGGCAGAAGGGCCACCUGAAAGAGAUUUCUGCCAGAUCGAAGCAAGGAAGCAACAGGCAUCUGACCUGUAAGCCAGGCAGACACCGUGAUUGGAGGCUUCAAGCCAGGCUUAUCAGCACCUAAACAACAAGACUGAAAACCAAACGCCAGAGUGGACAAAGAGCACCUCUGAAUUCCUGCUGGACCAGAGAUGUGAGGACCAGACAUCUCCUGCUUCUCCUCAUCCUGGCACCUUACACAUUAGCUAACCAGACACAGCCCUGAGGAAGGGCGCUGGCCUUCCAUGAUAAGAUUAUUGUCCCUGGCAGCUGAGUGGGCCUUAAAGUAAAAAUAAAGUUCAGUUACAGAAAAAAUA